Cavia porcellus (domestic guinea pig) is the source of this 716-nucleotide long non-coding RNA. RefSeq lists it as uncharacterized. Lineage: Eukaryota; Metazoa; Chordata; Mammalia; Rodentia; Caviidae. The transcript is spliced from 3 exons. The record is from RefSeq and is a predicted model, not a curated record.
UAUUUUAACUUACAGUAGGUUGUCUGUAUAUUGCUAGAAGUAUAUAGCACAUGUUAAACUUUUUAAUUCUGGAAAUGGUGAACAAUAAAUUGUACAGUUCUGUAGUGAAAUGAAUGUGAGAGAAACAGAAACCCCAGAAAAAAUGACUCAUCAAUCCCAGCAGAAGAUCCAGAAAUAAUCCAGUCAUAGAGGCAGUGUGCUAUUUGCUGUAUGUGGACAGAGAUUCUGAACAUCCUCAACCCUAUAUAGAGACUUCACAUUUGGAGAUCCGGAGUAGAGUGGAGUUCAAACUUUGCCCAAUUAUGAAGUCAGCUGUGCACAUCCAGAAGGACAGCAGGGUCUUGCUGUCUAGUUCAGGCUCGUCUUAUGCUCACUAUGUUGCUCAGGCUGGCCUCAAGCAUAUGAUGAAUUUCCUGACUCAGCCUAUUGAGUGCCAGGAUUACAGGGGAAUACUUCACAAAACAUCAAAAUGCUGGCAGUGACAAGUGAAAAUGGGAUGGCAUAACAUCAGGAUGGACAGAGCCAAAAGCAUUGGAGACAACUCAGUCUAACUUCCUGGGAAAACAGCAUUCUCAUCACUCUUCACCUCUCUCCAUUUGCACCAUUUGGAGGUCAUCAGCUUAUACUUUGUGGGCUGUGGAGCAGAGGAACUGUUGGUUACUAUAGUAUUAAGUGGUUCACCAGUUUGGGAAGCCAUUUAUCCUCUCUUAAGGCCU